CAUCAUGGCCCUUACGCCUAGGGCUACACACGUGCUACAAUGGGGUGCACAAAGAGAAGCAAUACUGCGAAGUGGAGCCAAUCUUCAAAACACCUCUCAGUUCGGAUUGUAGGCUGCAACUCGCCUGCAUGAAGCUGGAAUCGCUAGUAAUCGCAAAUCAGCCAUGUUGCGGUGAAUACGUUCCCGGGUCUUGUACUCACCGCCCGUCACACCAUGGGAGUUGUGUUUGCCUUAAGUCAGGAUGCUAAAUUGGCUACUGCCCACGGCACACACAGCGACUGGGGUGAAGUCGUAACAAGGUAACCGUAGGUGAACCUGCGGUUGGAUCACCUCCUUUCUAGA
RNAcentral lists this ribosomal RNA (342 nucleotides) under Helicobacter pylori. RNAcentral describes it as "bacterial SSU rRNA". It matches the Rfam family "Bacterial small subunit ribosomal RNA", at positions 1191 to 1533 of the family's 1533-position model. The record is from RNAcentral. Lineage: Bacteria; Pseudomonadati; Campylobacterota; Epsilonproteobacteria; Campylobacterales; Helicobacteraceae.